AGGGAUGUAGCUCAGUUGGUAGAGUGCUUGUCUUGCGCACACAAGGCCCUGGGUUUGAUUCCCAGCACCACAG
This 73-nucleotide transfer RNA is filed under the name Marmota monax (woodchuck). It matches the Rfam family "tRNA". From Rfam's summary of the family: Transfer RNA (tRNA) molecules are approximately 80 nucleotides in length. Their secondary structure includes four short double-helical elements and three loops (D, anti-codon, and T loops). Further hydrogen bonds mediate the characteristic L-shaped molecular structure. tRNAs have two regions of fundamental functional importance: the anti-codon, which is responsible for specific mRNA codon recognition, and the 3' end, to which the tRNAs corresponding amino acid is attached (by aminoacyl-tRNA synthetases). tRNAs cope with the degeneracy of the genetic code in two manners: having more than one tRNA (with a specific anti-codon) for a particular amino acid; and 'wobble' base-pairing, i.e. permitting non-standard base-pairing at the 3rd anti-codon position. The record is from Rfam by way of RNAcentral. Lineage: Eukaryota; Metazoa; Chordata; Mammalia; Rodentia; Sciuridae.